RNAcentral lists this transfer RNA (72 nucleotides) under Fukomys damarensis (Damara mole-rat). It matches the Rfam family "tRNA". From Rfam's summary of the family: Transfer RNA (tRNA) molecules are approximately 80 nucleotides in length. Their secondary structure includes four short double-helical elements and three loops (D, anti-codon, and T loops). Further hydrogen bonds mediate the characteristic L-shaped molecular structure. tRNAs have two regions of fundamental functional importance: the anti-codon, which is responsible for specific mRNA codon recognition, and the 3' end, to which the tRNAs corresponding amino acid is attached (by aminoacyl-tRNA synthetases). tRNAs cope with the degeneracy of the genetic code in two manners: having more than one tRNA (with a specific anti-codon) for a particular amino acid; and 'wobble' base-pairing, i.e. permitting non-standard base-pairing at the 3rd anti-codon position. The record is from Rfam by way of RNAcentral. Lineage: Eukaryota; Metazoa; Chordata; Mammalia; Rodentia; Bathyergidae.
GGGAGUGUGGCUUGAUGGUAGAGCACUUGCCUAGUAUGCAGGAGGCCCUGGCCUCAAGCACCAGUAAAGCCA